Molecule: regulatory RNA element, 101 nt
Organism: Photorhabdus luminescens
Lineage: Bacteria; Pseudomonadati; Pseudomonadota; Gammaproteobacteria; Enterobacterales; Morganellaceae
Rfam family: Gammaprotebacteria rimP leader
Source: Rfam
AAGCCACUGGCAGCAAAUAGGGUCCAGUUGCAUAAAGCCCCGAAUUUCGGGGUUUUUUGUUAUUUGACAACAGAACUACUGGGCUAAUUAGCCCUUUUUUU